RNAcentral lists this ribosomal RNA (470 nucleotides) under uncultured bacterium. RNAcentral's name for it is "SSU rRNA". It matches the Rfam family "Bacterial small subunit ribosomal RNA", at positions 26 to 518 of the family's 1533-position model. The record is from RNAcentral.
AGGACGAACGCUGGCGGCGUGCUUAACACAUGCAAGUCGAGCGGAAAGGCCCUUCGGGGUACUCGAGCGGCGAACGGGUGAGUAACACGUGAGUAAUCUGCCCCUAGCUCUGGGAUAGCUCCGGGAAACCGGGAUUAAUACCGGAUACGACCACUUUAGACAUCUGUUGUGGUGGAAAGAAUUUUGGCUAGGGAUGAGCUCGCGGCCUAUCAGCUUGUUGGUGGGGUAAUGGCCUACCAAGGCGACGACGGGUAGCCGGCCUGAGAGGGCGACCGGCCACACCUGGGACUGAAACACGGUCCAGACUCCUACGGGAGGCAGCAGUGGGGAAUUUUGCGCAAUGGGGGAAACCCUGACGCAGCAACGCCGCGUGGAGGAUGAAGCCCCUUGGGGCGUAAACUCCGUUUCGAUCGGGAAGAUAAUGACGGUACCGAGAGAAGAAGCCCGGCUAACUUCGUGCCAGCAGCCGC